Molecule: ribosomal RNA, 609 nt
Filed under: uncultured Filobasidiales
Lineage: Eukaryota; Fungi; Basidiomycota; Tremellomycetes
Description: eukaryotic LSU rRNA
Rfam family: 5.8S ribosomal RNA (bases 174-327)
Source: RNAcentral
GACUGCGGAGGAUCAUUAAUGAUUAACUGUCUGUCGAGCUUGCUCACAGACUUAUCAUAUCCAUAACACCUGUGCACUUGUCGGAUGGCUUAGUGAAGACCGCAAGGUUGGAACUAUCCAUCUACUUUACAUAACAAUUUAGUAACAAAUGUAGUCUUAUUAUAACAUAAUAAAACUUUCAACAACGGAUCUCUUGGCUCUCGCAUCGAUGAAGAACGCAGCGAAAUGCGAUAAGUAAUGUGAAUUGCAGAAUUCGGUGAAUCAUCGAAUCUUUGAACGCACCUUGCGCUCCCUGGUAUUCCGGGGAGCAUGCCUGUUUGAGUGUCAUGAAAACCCUCAACCUUAGAUUGGUUAACACCUUUCUUUGGCUUGGAUUCGGACGUUUGCCGAUGAUAAGUCGGCUCGUCUUAAAAGUAAUAGCUGGAUCUGUCUCGCGACAUGGUUUGACUUGGCGUAAUAAGUAUUUCGCUAAGGACAUCUUCGGAUGGCCGCGUUGCAAGACUAAAGACCGCUUUCUAAUCCAUUGAUCUUCGGAUUAAUAUUCUUGACAUCUGGCCUCAAAUCAGGUAGGACCACCCGCUGAACUUAAGCAUAUCAAUAAGCGGAGGA